Molecule: ribosomal RNA, 452 nt
Filed under: Frigoribacterium faeni
Lineage: Bacteria; Bacillati; Actinomycetota; Actinomycetes; Micrococcales; Microbacteriaceae
Description: bacterial SSU rRNA
Rfam family: Bacterial small subunit ribosomal RNA
Source: RNAcentral
UUACCAUGCAAGUCGAACGAUGAACUGGAGCUUGCUCCAGGGAUUAGUGGCGAACGGGUGAGUAACACGUGAGUAACCUGCCCUUGACUCUGGGAUAAGCGCUAGAAAUGGCGUCUAAUACCGGAUACGAGCUUCAGCCGCAUGGCUAGGAGUUGGAAAGAAUUUUGGUCAAGGAUGGACUCGCGGCCUAUCAGCUAGUUGGUGAGGUAAUGGCUCACCAAGGCGACGACGGGUAGCCGGCCUGAGAGGGUGACCGGCCACACUGGGACUGAGACACGGCCCAGACUCCUACGGGAGGCAGCAGUGGGGAAUAUUGCACAAUGGGCGAAAGCCUGAUGCAGCAACGCCGCGUGAGGGAUGACGGCCUUCGGGUUGUAAACCUCUUUUAGUAGGGAAGAAGCGAAAGUGACGGUACCUGCAGAAAAAGCACCGGCUAACUACGUGCCAGCCGC